CGGGGUGUAGCGCAGUUGGUAGCGCACCUGGUUUGGGACCAGGUGGUCGCCCGUUCGAGUCGGGUCACCCCGACCA
RNAcentral lists this transfer RNA (76 nucleotides) under Prevotellaceae bacterium. Its description in RNAcentral is "tRNA-Pro". It matches the Rfam family "tRNA". Rfam says of the family: Transfer RNA (tRNA) molecules are approximately 80 nucleotides in length. Their secondary structure includes four short double-helical elements and three loops (D, anti-codon, and T loops). Further hydrogen bonds mediate the characteristic L-shaped molecular structure. tRNAs have two regions of fundamental functional importance: the anti-codon, which is responsible for specific mRNA codon recognition, and the 3' end, to which the tRNAs corresponding amino acid is attached (by aminoacyl-tRNA synthetases). tRNAs cope with the degeneracy of the genetic code in two manners: having more than one tRNA (with a specific anti-codon) for a particular amino acid; and 'wobble' base-pairing, i.e. permitting non-standard base-pairing at the 3rd anti-codon position. RNAcentral also lists the same sequence under 2 other names. The record is from RNAcentral. Lineage: Bacteria; Pseudomonadati; Bacteroidota; Bacteroidia; Bacteroidales; Prevotellaceae.